AGUCAACAGUAUGAAGUCAGUGCUAUGUAAGGAAAGUGUUUUCUAGGGAAAGCAGUAAGAAUUCUUUGAAUAUCUGACUUGCAGGUCAAAUGUAGAGAGCUAUCAGGUUGUUGUACAGCAGAAAUCAACAUUGUAAUUGAAAAUCUUUUAAAGAGAAGAAUACCAUCUAAGUGGGUUGACCAACUUGAAUUAGCACAUUGCUACUUAAGAAUAGAGGAGGAAGGAGGACUGUAUGGAGCACCUUCUGUUCAUGUGGUGAUUUAGAAGCCAUCAGCACGUCAGAGCCUGUCUCUGGAGCUCAGAACAUGCAUUGCAUCGCAGAACCGUCUGUGCCACUUCAGAAAGAAGCGACAGUCACUUGGAAGGUAACUGACUGUGGGGCUGAAAUCCCAAGCCACCCUUUGCAGAGACACGUUGAUGAAUCAGCUAACUGCCUUCUUCCUCAGUGCUUAUACUCAGGAAUGGAAAACUGAAGACCACUGGAUUGUUGAAAAGAUAAGACUCAAGGUGCUUGAGUAUCUACUGAAAUGUCUUCAAAAUGCUUAAACAGGAGGCCAGAAUGCCACCCACAGAGGUGCCUGAUUGCUGGAAAAUGCUGGGUUCCUGCUGUCUGAGAAUCACUGCCAUCUCUGAUAUCCAACAUUGGACAGUUGAAAGAUGAGCAAGAAUCCCAGACAGUUUCACAAAGCAGCAAAAAAUUUGAGAUUAGAGCCCCGGAACACACUGGGGACUUUAUUUCCUCAGGCAUGAGAUGGAAUCUGCCUCGCCAGAUUGUUCAAGUUUAAGUUGGAGUUGAGACCCCAGUGCCAAUAAAAGGAAGAAUUAUUGGAAAGCCUUCUCAGUUGCACUGGUACUACAGAGUAGAGCUGACUGUGUGGCAUAGGAUUAACAAAAAUGCUGGAUUUAACAGAUUUAAGAACCUGUCAAGAAUGCCCAGGCUGAGUACCACUCAGCAUUGUGUCCCUAUGCAACCAGAAAAGUCAAAAUGUGUUGUUGGACCUGGAGGAUGGGUGAAGGGUGGCAGGGGGAGAGGAGGAGUUCUCUGAGAAGACAUUAUCUGUUGGAUCAGGUUGCUAGUUUUACUGCAUGUUGGGACUUGAAUAUAUAUUAACGGUAAUGGAUUUCAAUGGAAAUAUAACUUAAGCUUGAUUGUGCCUUGUAUUAGAUUAAUAAAUAUCAAAACUGUGGCAAUGGCAUAAUUAACAUGGACAAUUUAGAUGAGAAUGAAUAUUGCCCUGAAAAGAGUCCAAAGAAAACAAAUUUAUGCUCUGUUCAGAAACGUGUCAGAAAGAGGUUGGAAUGUGUAUUAGUAACAGAAGUGGUUGCAGAGUUUAUCCAUCAUAGUCUAGUCCAGGGAUGCUGAAGUCAUAAGAAUUUAUGGAAAGGGGAGUAGGGACUAUAUGUGGACAUGAGCAGAGACAGGAAUUCAUUUUUCAGUGAUGUGAAGAAGUGAAAAUAUGGUCACUUAAAUGAAGAAAACCAAUAAACAAAACCAAACGCUCACAGUUAUUAAAACUCUGAAUCAUUGAUGUUCCAAAUGGAGACUAAGUAAGUAGUGUUAUCUAGUAUUAGAUAAGCAUUAUCUAAUGAUAAGUAUUAGAUAAGCUAAUUAGUAAUAAUUAGAUAAGUAUUAGAUAAGCAUUUGUUAGUUUCAUCAGUGACAGUGGAGUUGGGGAAUAGCUUCCUGGUUCUGAGCCAUGCGAGAUGUUACCAGAGAUAGCAGGUGAAAUCUCAAAUUAAUGAGAUUUCCACCACUGAUUUCAGUUGAAUGAGGCUUUAAUUCCUUGUUCCUACCAAGAAUCUUACACUGUAAAUUAAUUUCUCGUCAGUCUGAUACAGUCUUUCAUUAGAACACGUCUUGUCACAUUUGUAUAGGGAUUCCAUAUUCACACUGAAGUAAAAUGACAUGAAUGUCAAGGUAUUCUAACACAUUAAACAGUUUCUGAGGACUACAGAGAUAAACCUAGGCAGAGGAAUUUAUCAACAACAAGGCUUCACUGAAAAGUUCCAGUUGUCAGCUCUAAAUGUUGGUAUAACCAUACAUCUCCUUUUUCCCUUGGUUCUGAUUUGUAAAUGCAAUGAAAUCUCCCAUGGUUUAUUCUGAGAAAUGAGAAUUACUAUGCUUUUAUGGUUGUGCAAUUGUUCUAUAAUAACUAAUAAUGAUGCAUCUGCAGUAUCAUAAGCAUGGUGUUAUAAAAUCCAGUGCAAACAAGUGGAUCCUGUGUUACAUCUCAAUUAUUUCAGAAAUGGGAUGAGGUUCAGUCAUUUGCGUAGACAGAUACUAUUUUGCUUUCAGCAAUGUAGAGAAGGAGAUAGCUUACCUAACCCUUUACAGUCAUAUCAAUUGUUUUAAAAUGUCUGCCAAAACAAAA
This is a long non-coding RNA of Cygnus olor (mute swan), 2372 nucleotides long. RefSeq lists it as uncharacterized. The record is from RefSeq and is a predicted model, not a curated record. The transcript has 6 exons. NCBI's taxonomy places the organism in Eukaryota, Metazoa, Chordata, Aves, Anseriformes, Anatidae.